AUUGAACGCUGGCGGCAUGCCUUACACAUGCAAGUCGAACGGCAGCACGGGUGCUUGCACCUGGUGGCGAGUGGCGAACGGGUGAGUAAUACAUCGGAACAUGUCCUGUAGUGGGGGAUAGCCCGGCGAAAGCCGGAUUAAUACCGCAUACGAUCUACGGAUGAAAGCGGGGGACCUUCGGGCCUCGCGCUAUAGGGUUGGCCGAUGGCUGAUUAGCUAGUUGGUGGGGUAAAGGCCUACCAAGGCGACGCUCCGUAGCUGGUCUGAGAGGACGACCAGCCACACUGGGACUGAGACACGGCCCAGACUCCUACGGGAGGCAGCAGUGGGGAAUUUUGGACAAUGGGCGAAAGCCUGAUCCAGCAAUGCCGCGUGUGUGAAGAAGGCCUUCGGGUUGUAAAGCACUUUUGUCCGGAAAGAAAUCCUUGGCCCUAAUACGGUCGGGGGAUGACGGUACCGGAAGAAUAAGCACCGGCUAACUACGUG
RNAcentral lists this ribosomal RNA (486 nucleotides) under uncultured bacterium. RNAcentral describes it as "partial 16S ribosomal RNA". It matches the Rfam family "Bacterial small subunit ribosomal RNA", at positions 30 to 507 of the family's 1533-position model. The record is from RNAcentral.